This 450-nucleotide ribosomal RNA is filed under the name uncultured bacterium. Its description in RNAcentral is "partial 16S ribosomal RNA". It matches the Rfam family "Bacterial small subunit ribosomal RNA", at positions 354 to 796 of the family's 1533-position model. The record is from RNAcentral.
GUGGGGAAUAUUGGACAAUGGGCGAAAGCCUGAUCCAGCCAUGCCGCGUGUGUGAAGAAGGUCUUCGGAUUGUAAAGCACUUUAAGUUGGGAGGAAGGGCAGUAAGUUAAUACCUUGCUGUUUUGACGUUACCGACAGAAUAAGCACCGGCUAACUUCGUGCCAGCAGCCGCGGUAAUACGAAGGGUGCAAGCGUUAAUCGGAAUUACUGGGCGUAAAGCGCGCGUAGGUGGUUUUGUAAGUUGGAGGUGAAAUCCCCGGGCUCAACCUGGGAACUGCCUCCAAAACUGCAUGACUAGAGUACGGUAGAGGGUAGUGGAAUUUCCUGUGUAGCGGUGAAAUGCGUAGAUAUAGGAAGGAACACCAGUGGCGAAGGCGACUACCUGGACUGAUACUGACACUGAGGUACGAAAGCGUGGGGAGCAAACAGGAUUAGAAACCCCUGUAGUCC